AGUGCAAAUGGUUAACAAUGGUUAAGAAUUUCUUAAUUGACAUGAAUGAGCUGAAAUGCAUUUGAAAUUUGUUAGUUGUUGUGAAUAUUUUGAGCUGUGACUGGAAUUAAAUGUGGUUGUGAAUAAUGAUUAGUUUAGUGUAAUUUAUUAAAUUGAUAUAUGCUGGGUUAAUUAUUGAAAAGAUGUCGUAUGGAUAAUUGAUGAAUUGAGUUUGAUUUGUGUUUGGGUUG
Arachis ipaensis is the source of this 230-nucleotide non-coding RNA. NCBI's taxonomy places the organism in Eukaryota, Viridiplantae, Streptophyta, Magnoliopsida, Fabales, Fabaceae. The record is from RefSeq and is a predicted model, not a curated record.